RNAcentral lists this ribosomal RNA (460 nucleotides) under uncultured bacterium. Its description in RNAcentral is "partial 16S ribosomal RNA". It matches the Rfam family "Bacterial small subunit ribosomal RNA", at positions 338 to 795 of the family's 1533-position model. The record is from RNAcentral.
CCUACGGGAGGCAGCAGUGAGGAAUAUUGGUCAAUGGACGAGAGUCUGAACCAGCCAAGUAGCGUGAAGGAUGACUGCCCUAUGGGUUGUAAACUUCUUUUAUAUGGGAAUAAAAUGUUCCACGUGUGGGAUUUUGUAUGUACCAUAUGAAUAAGGAUCGGCUAACUCCGUGCCAGCAGCCGCGGUAAUACGGAGGAUCCGAGCGUUAUCCGGAUUUAUUGGGUUUAAAGGGAGCGUAGGUGGAUUGUUAAGUCAGUUGUGAAAGUUUGCGGCUCAAACGUAAAAUUGCAGUUGAUACUGGCAGUCUUGAGUACAGUAGAGGUGGGCGGAAUUCGUGGUGUAGCGGUGAAAUGCUUAGAUAUCACGAAGAACUCCGAUUGCGAAGGCAGUUCACUGGACUGCAACUGACACUGAGGCUCGAAAGUGUGGGUAUCAAACAGGAUUAGAUACCCUUGUAGUC